Coregonus clupeaformis (lake whitefish) is the source of this 720-nucleotide long non-coding RNA. RefSeq lists it as uncharacterized. The record is from RefSeq and is a predicted model, not a curated record. NCBI's taxonomy places the organism in Eukaryota, Metazoa, Chordata, Actinopteri, Salmoniformes, Salmonidae. The transcript has 3 exons.
AUAUAGAGGCCCAAAGUCCAACCUUGCGGGGUCCAGAGAAACUGCGUUAACUUUAGAAAAUGAGUUACUAAAAGCAGAAGGCUUCCUACGACUGGAGUAUUAUUUGAAUGUUGGCCGAAUCCCAACGUUUCAGUUGAACGGAAGUGAAGGCGGAGCCUGGCUCUUUUCUCUUGUGACUUUACGCUCCGUGCAGAGUAGAACGCCAGACAACAUGAUUGAACAAAGGAGGAAUGUUAAAAUGAUAUCGGACGGUAUUUUGUAAAAGAGCUAAACAGAAGCCUACUGCUGUAUUAUUAUUUGUUUGUUGGCGGAAGUCCCAUUUUUCAGUCGAAAGGAAGUGAAGUUGGAGUCACAUGUUCUCUAUUCUCCAUUUUGUCUUUUGACUUUAGGCAGAGAGUCACAUGUUGGAAUAUAACGUCUCGGUCCUCUACCUCCCUGAUCUAAAAGGUCCGUAGACUACAGAUAAACAUUGUUAUCUGGUUAACUUCGCCUGAACUCUGCAAUCAACCAUAAACACACGUUUCUACAAUGAAUCAGGCAGAGAGUCGCAUGUUGAAAUAUAACGUCUCGGUCCUCUACAUCCCGGAUCUAAAAGGUCCGUAGACUAGAGAUAAACAUCUAGUUAACUUCGCCUGAACUCUGCAAUCGACCAUAAACACACGUUUCUACAAUGAAUCAGGAAACACCUAUCCCACCCCCCUCCUCCCUCUCCCUCCAACC